This 493-nucleotide ribosomal RNA is filed under the name uncultured bacterium. Its description in RNAcentral is "partial 16S ribosomal RNA". It matches the Rfam family "Bacterial small subunit ribosomal RNA", at positions 28 to 506 of the family's 1533-position model. The record is from RNAcentral.
GACGAACGCUGGCGGCGUGCUUAACACAUGCGAGUCGAACGGUGAAGCGCCUUCCUUUUUGGUGGGUGUGGAUGAGUGGCGAACGGGUGAGUAACACGUGAGUAACCUGCCCCCUUCUUCUGGAUAACCGCAUGAAAGUGUGGCUAAUACGGGAUAUUCUGGGUCUGUCGCAUGAUGGGUCUGGGAAAGAUAUUGUUUCGGUGGGGGAUGGGCUCGCGGCCUAUCAGCUUGUUGGUGGGGUGAUGGCCUACCAAGGCGGUGACGGGUAGCCGGCCUGAGAGGGUGGACGGUCACACUGGGACUGAGACACGGCCCAGACUCCUACGGGAGGCAGCAGUGGGGAAUAUUGCACAAUGGGCGCAAGCCUGAUGCAGCGACGCCGCGUGAGGGAUGGAGGCCUUCGGGUUGUGAACCUCUUUCGCCAGUGAAGCAGGCCUGCCUCGUUUGUGGGUGGGUUGACGGUAGCUGGAUAAGAAGCGCCGGCUAACUACGU